This is a long non-coding RNA of Erinaceus europaeus (western European hedgehog), 938 nucleotides long. RefSeq lists it as uncharacterized. The transcript has 3 exons. The record is from RefSeq and is a predicted model, not a curated record. Lineage: Eukaryota; Metazoa; Chordata; Mammalia; Eulipotyphla; Erinaceidae.
UAAGUUGAAAAUAGAAUAUUUCAGAAGAGUCAACCAGUUGAGGUGUAGAAAUUUUAGAACCCAAGGUUUGCAUGCCAGAAAAUAACUCCCAAAUUCAGUUCCUGAUUCCACCACAAACUAAAUCUGAUUCCAAAAAUACAGCCAGAACUGAGUCAAUGUUCAAGAAGGAACUAGGUGGUGAUGGUACACCUGGUUGGUUCACAUGUUAUAAAGCCAAAGGAACCCUGGUAACACUCAUGAUGCCUGAUAUUCCAAGGUCUUGGAUUGAAUUUUUUUUCUUUUAGGGUUAUCCCUGAGGCUCAGUGCUGGCACUGAAUCCACUACUCCUGGUGGGUAGAUUCUAUUUUAUUGGAUAGGACAACUUGAACAAGUGCUCAUUGGGUUGUGCUCUAGUCAAAAGUAGAAAACACCUAUACACAGUUAAGCCCCUGGAUAAGAUUCCCCCUUUAUCUGUUUCCAGAUUCUGGAAUAGACUUGGCUGUUAACUGUGUACUAAAGCUUGGCUUUCAUCAAGGUUGUUUCCACUGCCUACACUAAUUGUUGCCAGUGGCCAUUUUUAUAAGGAUGAGAUGAGAGACACAGUACAAUCUGAAGUUUCUCCCUGCAGAAAAAAUGACCAAUUUUGAGACUCAGGCUGACCCGAUGAGAGCUGAGGGAUUAUCCCAGUAAUGACAAUGAUCAGAUAUGCCAUGGGAGAAUGCAGGUUCCAGAUGCCACCAGGAUGCUGGCUAGGCUUCCCUGGAUUGAAGACCCCACCAAUGUGUCCUGGAGCUCAGCUUCCCCAGAGACACACCUUACUAGGGAAAGAGAGAGGCAGACUGGGAGUAUGGACCGACCAGUCAACGCCCAUGUUCAGCGGGGAAGCAAUUACAGAAGCCAGACCUUCUACCUUCUGCAACCCUCAACGACCCUGGGUCCAUGCUCCCAGAGGGCUAGAG